Molecule: ribosomal RNA, 458 nt
Filed under: uncultured bacterium
Lineage: Bacteria
Description: partial 16S ribosomal RNA
Rfam family: Bacterial small subunit ribosomal RNA
Source: RNAcentral
CCUACGGGAGGCAGCAGUGGGGAAUAUUGCACAAUGGGGGAAACCCUGAUGCAGCGACGCCGCGUGAGUGAAGAAGUAAUUCGUUACGUAAAGCUCUAUCAGCAGGGAAGAAACACUGACCUUACGGUCAGCAGACGGUACCUGAGUAAGAAGCCCCGGCUAACUACGUGCCAGCAGCCGCGGUAAUACGUAGGGGGCAAGCGUUAUCCGGAUUUACUGGGUGUAAAGGGAGCGUAGACGGUGCGCCAAGUCUGGAGUGAAAUGCCACAGCUUAACUGUGGAACUGCUUUGGAAACUGGCGAACUAGAGUGCGGGAGGGGUAAGCGGAAUUCCUAGUGUAGCGGUGAAAUGCGUAGAUAUUAGGAGGAACACCGGUGGCGAAGGCGGCUUACUGGACCGUAACUGACGUUGAGGCUCGAAAGCGUGGGGAGCAAACAGGAUUAGAUACCCGGGUAGUC